UAGGGAAUCUUCCGCAAUGGACGCAAGUCUGACGGAGCAACGCCGCGUGAGUGAAGAAGGAUUUCGGUUCGUAAAACUCUGUUGUUAGAGAAGAACAGCGCAUAGAGUAACUGUUAUGCGGGUGACGGUAUCUAACCAGAAAGCCACGGCUAACUACGUGCCAGCAGCCGCGGUAAUACGUAGGUGGCAAGCGUUGUCCGGAUUUAUUGGGCGUAAAGCGAGCGCAGGCGGUCAAUUAAGUCUGAUGUGAAAGCCCCCGGCUCAACCGGGGAGGGUCAUUGGAAACUGGUUGACUUGAGUGCAGAAGGGGAGAGUGGAAUUCCAUGUGUAGCGGUGAAAUGCGUAGAUAUAUGGAGGAACACCGGUGGCGAAAGCGGCUCUCUGGUCUGUAACUGACGCUGAGGCUCGAAAGCGUGGGGAGCGAACAGG
RNAcentral lists this ribosomal RNA (429 nucleotides) under Bacteroidota bacterium. Its description in RNAcentral is "Bacteroidetes bacterium partial 16S ribosomal RNA". It matches the Rfam family "Bacterial small subunit ribosomal RNA", at positions 355 to 776 of the family's 1533-position model. The record is from RNAcentral. Lineage: Bacteria; Pseudomonadati; Bacteroidota.